Molecule: ribosomal RNA, 1352 nt
Filed under: uncultured archaeon
Lineage: Archaea
Description: 16S ribosomal RNA
Rfam family: Archaeal small subunit ribosomal RNA
Source: RNAcentral
UUCCGGUUGAUCCUGCCGGAGGACAUUGCUAUUGGGAUUCGAUUUAGCCAUGCUAGUCGAACGAGUUCACACUCGUGGCACAUAGCUCAGUAACACGUGGCCAAGUUACCCUUCAGUCGGCAAUACCCUCGGGAAACUGAGGCUAAUAGCCGAUACGAAACAGACGCUGGAAUGCACUGUAUUCCAAAGACAUCGCUGAAGGAUGCGGCUGCGGCCGAUUAGGUAGACGGUGGGGUAACGGCCCACCGUGCCAGUAAUCGGUACGGGUGAUGAGAGUCAGAGCCCGGAGACGGAAUCUGAGACAAGAUUCCGGGCCCUACGGGGCGCAGCAGGCGCGAAACCUUUACACUGCACGAAAGUGCGAUAGGGGAAUCCCAAGUGCGAGGGCAUAUUAGCCCUCGCUUUUGUUGACUCUAAGGCGGUCAACGAAUAAGAGCUGGGCAAGACCGGUGCCAGCCGCCGCGGUAAUACCGGCAGCCCGAGUGAUGGCCGAUCUUAUUGGGCCUAAAGCGUCCGUAGCUGGCUGCGCAAGUCCGUCGGGAAAUCCACUCGCCCAACGAGUGGGCGUCCGACGGAAACUGCACAGCUUGGGACCGGAAGGCUCGAAGGGUACGUUCGGGGUAGGAGUGAAAUCCCAUAAUCCCGCACGGACCACCGAUGGCGAAAGCACUUCGAGAAAACGGAUCCGACAGUGAGGGACGAAAGCCAGGGUCUCCAACCGGAUUAGAUACCCGGGUAGUCCUGGCCGUAAACAAUGUUCGCUAGGUAUGACACAGACUACGCGUCUCUGUUGUGCCGUAGGGAAGCCGAGAAGCGAACCGCCUGGGAAGUACGUCUGCAAGGAUGAAACUUAAAGGAAUUGGCGGGGGAGCACUACAACCGGAGGAGCCUGCGGUUUAAUUGGACUCAACGCCGGACAUCUCACCAGCUCCGACUACAGUGAUGACGACCAGGUUGAUGACCUCAUCACGACGCUGUAGAGAGGAGGUGCAUGGCCGCCGUCAGCUCGUACCGUGAGGCGUCCUGUUAAGUCAGGCAACGAGCGAGACCCGCACCCCUAAUUGCCAGCAACAGUUUCGACUGGUUGGGUACAUUAGGAGGACUGCCAGUGUUAAACUGGAGGAAGGAACGGGCAACGGUAGGUCAGUAUGCCCCGAAUGAGCUGGGCAACACGCGGGCUACAAUGGCUAAGACAAUGGGUCGCUAUCUCGACAGAGAACGCUAAUCUCGAAACUUAGUCGUAGUUCGGAUUGAGGGCUGAAACUCGCCCUCAUGAAGCUGGAUUCGGUAGUAGCCGCCUUUCAGUAGAAGGCGACGAAUACGUCCCUGCUCCUUGUACACACCGCCCGUCA